GAGUUUUGAUUCUGGCUCAGAUUGAACGCUGGCGGCAGGCCUAACACAUGCUAGUCGAGCGGAUGAAGGGAGCUUGCUCCUGGAUUCAGCGGCGGACGGGUGAGUAAUGCCUAGGAAUCUGCCUGGUAGUGGGGGAUAACGUCCGGAAACGGGCGCUAAUACCGCAUACGUCGUGAGGGAGAAAGUGGGGGAUCUUCGGACCUCACGCUAUCAGAUGAGCCUAGGUCGGAUUAGCUAGUUGGUGGGGUAAAGGCCUACCAAGGCGACGAUCCGUAACUGGUCUGAGAGGAUGAUCAGUCACACUGGAACUGAGACACGGUCCAGACUCCUACGGGAGGCAGCAGUGGGGAAUAUUGGACAAUGGGCGAAAGCCUGAUCCAGCCAUGCCGCGUGUGUGAAGAAGGUCUUCGGAUUGUAAAGCACUUUAAGUUGGGAGGAAGGGCAGUAAGUUAAUACCUUGCUGUUUUGACGUUACCAACAGAAUAAGCACCGGCUAACUUCGUGCCAGCAGCCGCGGUAAUACGAAGGGUGCAAGCGUUAAUCGGAAUUACUGGGCGUAAAGCGCGCGUAGGUGGUUCAGCAAGUUGGAUGUGAAAUCCCCGGGCUCAACCUGGGAACUGCAUCCAAAACUACUGAGCUAGAGUACGGUAGAGGGUGGUGGAAUUUCCUGUGUAGCGGUGAAAUGCGUAGAUAUAGGAAGGAACACCAGUGGCGAAGGCGACCACCUGGACUGAUACUGACACUGAGGUGCGAAAGCGUGGGGAGCAAACAGGAUUAGAUACCCUGGUAGUCCACGCCGUAAACGAUGUCGACUAGCCGUUGGGAUCCUUGAGAUCUUAGUGGCGCAGCUAACGCGAUAAGUCGACCGCCUGGGAGNCGCCNAANNG
This 887-nucleotide ribosomal RNA is filed under the name Pseudomonas aeruginosa. Its description in RNAcentral is "bacterial SSU rRNA". It matches the Rfam family "Bacterial small subunit ribosomal RNA", at positions 9 to 873 of the family's 1533-position model. Lineage: Bacteria; Pseudomonadati; Pseudomonadota; Gammaproteobacteria; Pseudomonadales; Pseudomonadaceae. The record is from RNAcentral.